CUCUUCUUGAAUAUAUUAUGAUGUAUGGCCUGCCCACUGAGUGUUGAAGGGCCGCGGUAUUUUGACCGUGCAAAGGUAGCAUAAUCAUUAGUCUUUUAAUUGUAGGCUGGAAUGAAUGGUUUGACGAGGUGUAAACUGUCUUUAAUUUAUUUGUUGAAUUUAAAUUUUAGGUUAAAAUGCCUAAAUUUUUUUUUGGGACGAGAAGACCCUAUAGAGUUUUAUAUGUUUUUAUUUUUUUGUGUGAUAAUUUUAAAUUUAAUAAUUUAUUUUGUUGGGGUGAUGGAAAGAUUUAAUUAACUCUUUUUAUUUUUUUAUAUUUAUUUAUAUGUAUUUGAUCCAUUUUUGUUGAUUAUAAGGCUAAAUUACC
This 367-nucleotide ribosomal RNA is filed under the name Cryptocercus changbaiensis. Its description in RNAcentral is "partial 16S large subunit ribosomal RNA". The record is from RNAcentral. Lineage: Eukaryota; Metazoa; Arthropoda; Insecta; Blattodea; Cryptocercidae.